This 117-nucleotide non-coding RNA is filed under the name Gorilla gorilla gorilla (western lowland gorilla). Lineage: Eukaryota; Metazoa; Chordata; Mammalia; Primates; Hominidae. The record is from Rfam by way of RNAcentral.
GCUGGGCGUGGUGGCUCACGCCUGUAAUCCCAGCAUUUUGGGAGGCCGAGGCAGGUGGAUCACCUGAGGUCAGGAGUUUAAGACCAGCCUGGCCAACAUGGUGAAACCCUGUCUCUA